Molecule: long non-coding RNA, 213 nt
Filed under: Gossypium raimondii (Peruvian cotton)
Lineage: Eukaryota; Viridiplantae; Streptophyta; Magnoliopsida; Malvales; Malvaceae
Description: long non-coding RNA (GRAI_LNC002649)
Source: RNAcentral
UAAUAAUAUAUUAAUGUAUAAUAAAACAAAAUAAAAGAAAUAGAAAAAGAAAAAGAAACAAAGUGAAACGAAACAGAAAGAAAGAAGGAAAGAAAGAAGGAGAAAGGAGAAAGCUAGGGUUUCAGUUGUUCAAAGCUCAACUGGUUAGUCAUUUUAGUCCAUUUUCUUGUAAUUUUUAUGUUUUUGAAAUCCCAGUAUUAAAUACUACCCAAC